GAUGAAGAACGUAGCGAAAUGCGAUAAGUAAUGUGAAUUGCAGAAUUCAGUGAAUCAUCGAAUCUUUGAACGCACCUUGCGCCCUUUGGCUAUUCCGAAGGGCAUGCCUGUUUGAGUAUCGUGAACACCUCAACUCUCAUGGUUUGCCAUGAUGAGCUUGGACUUUGGGGGUUUUGCUGGCUUUUGGUCGGCUCCUCUCAAACGGAUCAGCUUUCCAGUGUUUGGUGGCGUCACGGGUGUGAUAACUAUCUACGCCUGUGGUUUUAUGCCAGAUAACCUUCAGCGAUGGAGGUUCGCUGGGGCUCAUAAAUGUCUCUCUUCAGUGGAGACAGCUUUUUGGACGUUUGAUCUCAAAUCAGGUAGGACUACCCGCUGAACUUAAGCAUAUCAAUAAGCGGAGGA
RNAcentral lists this unclassified non-coding RNA (402 nucleotides) under soil metagenome. Its description in RNAcentral is "partial contains 5.8S ribosomal RNA, internal transcribed spacer 2, and large subunit ribosomal RNA". The stretch from base 1 to 121 matches the Rfam family "5.8S ribosomal RNA", at positions 35 to 154 of the family's 154-position model. The record is from RNAcentral.